UAGGGUGUGGCUCAGUGGUAGAGUACUUGCCUAGCAUGUGGGAAGCCCUGGUUCCCAUCACCAGCACCCCAA
This 72-nucleotide transfer RNA is filed under the name Marmota marmota marmota (Alpine marmot). It matches the Rfam family "tRNA". Rfam says of the family: Transfer RNA (tRNA) molecules are approximately 80 nucleotides in length. Their secondary structure includes four short double-helical elements and three loops (D, anti-codon, and T loops). Further hydrogen bonds mediate the characteristic L-shaped molecular structure. tRNAs have two regions of fundamental functional importance: the anti-codon, which is responsible for specific mRNA codon recognition, and the 3' end, to which the tRNAs corresponding amino acid is attached (by aminoacyl-tRNA synthetases). tRNAs cope with the degeneracy of the genetic code in two manners: having more than one tRNA (with a specific anti-codon) for a particular amino acid; and 'wobble' base-pairing, i.e. permitting non-standard base-pairing at the 3rd anti-codon position. RNAcentral also lists the same sequence under 2 other names. Lineage: Eukaryota; Metazoa; Chordata; Mammalia; Rodentia; Sciuridae. The record is from Rfam by way of RNAcentral.